This 101-nucleotide transfer RNA is filed under the name Salmonella enterica. RNAcentral describes it as "tRNA-Asn". It matches the Rfam family "tRNA". From Rfam's summary of the family: Transfer RNA (tRNA) molecules are approximately 80 nucleotides in length. Their secondary structure includes four short double-helical elements and three loops (D, anti-codon, and T loops). The record is from RNAcentral. Lineage: Bacteria; Pseudomonadati; Pseudomonadota; Gammaproteobacteria; Enterobacterales; Enterobacteriaceae.
UCCUCUGUAGUUCAGUCGGUAGAACGGCGGACUGUUAAUCCGUAUGUCACUGGUUCGAGUCCAUCCGUAUGUCACUGGUUCGAGUCCAGUCAGAGGAGCCA